ACAUCAGUAGCCGCGGUAAUACGUAGGUGGCAAGCGUUGUCCGGAAUUAUUGGGCGUAAAGGGCUCGCAGGCGGUUUCUUAAGUCUGAUGUGAAAGCCCCCGGCUCAACCGGGGAGGGUCAUUGGAAACUGGGAAACUUGAGUGCAGAAGAGGAGAGUGGAAUUCCACGUGUAGCGGUGAAAUGCGUAGAGAUGUGGAGGAACACCAGUGGCGAAGGCGACUCUCUGGUCUGUAACUGACGCUGAGGAGCGAAAGCGUGGGGAGCGAACAGGAUUAGAUACCCCUGUAGUCCCUGUCUCUUAUAA
Molecule: ribosomal RNA, 305 nt
Filed under: uncultured bacterium
Lineage: Bacteria
Description: partial 16S ribosomal RNA
Rfam family: Bacterial small subunit ribosomal RNA
Source: RNAcentral